AAUCUUCCACAAUGGACGGAAGUCUGAUGGAGCAAUGCCGCGUUAACGAAGAAGGUUUUCGGAUCGUAAAGUUCUUUUGUGAGGGAAGAACAAGUACGAGAGUAACUGCUCGUACCUUGACGGUACCUCAUUAGAAAGCCACUGCUAACUACGUGCCAGCGGCCGCGGUAAUACGUAGGUGGCAAGCUUUGUCCGGAAUUAUUGGGCGUAAAGCGCGCGCAGGCGGCCUUGUAAGUCUGAUGUGAAAGCCCACGGCUCAACCGUGGAAGGUCAUUGGAAACUGGAAGGCUUGAGUACAGAAGAGGAAAGCGGAAUUCCACGUGUAGCGGUGAAAUGCGUAGAGAUGUGGAGGAACACCAGUGGCGAAGGCGGCUUUCUGGUCUGUAACUGACGCUGAGGCGCGAAAGCGUGGGGAGCAAACA
Molecule: ribosomal RNA, 422 nt
Filed under: uncultured bacterium
Lineage: Bacteria
Description: partial 16S ribosomal RNA
Rfam family: Bacterial small subunit ribosomal RNA
Source: RNAcentral